GUCAGGAUGGCCGAGCGGUCUAAGGCGUCAGACUCAAGUUCUGGUCCACAUAUGUGGGCGUGGGUUCGAAUCCCAUUUCUGACA
Molecule: transfer RNA, 84 nt
Filed under: Stegodyphus dumicola
Lineage: Eukaryota; Metazoa; Arthropoda; Arachnida; Araneae; Eresidae
Description: tRNA-Leu
Rfam family: tRNA
About the family: Transfer RNA (tRNA) molecules are approximately 80 nucleotides in length. Their secondary structure includes four short double-helical elements and three loops (D, anti-codon, and T loops). Further hydrogen bonds mediate the characteristic L-shaped molecular structure. tRNAs have two regions of fundamental functional importance: the anti-codon, which is responsible for specific mRNA codon recognition, and the 3' end, to which the tRNAs corresponding amino acid is attached (by aminoacyl-tRNA synthetases). tRNAs cope with the degeneracy of the genetic code in two manners: having more than one tRNA (with a specific anti-codon) for a particular amino acid; and 'wobble' base-pairing, i.e. permitting non-standard base-pairing at the 3rd anti-codon position.
Source: RNAcentral